This 122-nucleotide long non-coding RNA is filed under the name Ictidomys tridecemlineatus (thirteen-lined ground squirrel). RNAcentral's name for it is "lncRNA (ENSSTOG00000032162.1)". Lineage: Eukaryota; Metazoa; Chordata; Mammalia; Rodentia; Sciuridae. The record is from RNAcentral.
UGAAGGCCCGCGGCCCAUGGGAGCCGCCAGCGGAAGUCACCCGAGUGAGGAGGCGUGGCCUAAGGAACAUUCCUUAUUUCAACGAGUGACCAAGGAAACUUCGAGGAAUGCUGUGACGGGCC